AUUGAACGCUGGCGGCAUGCCUAACACAUGCAAGUCGAACGGCAGCACGGGAGCUUGUCCCUGGUGGGGAUUGGGGGAGGCGGGUGUGUUACAUAUGCAUAUGUAACGUAGUGGGCGUUGGGGAGGUGGAAGACCGAUUGAUACUGCUUACGAAUAACGGCUACGGGCGGGGGCACGAGGGGAUUCGCGUUUUCGCGUUGGACAGGGGCGGAUUAGCUAGUUGGUGGGGUAAAGGCCUACCAAGGCGACGAUCAGUAGCUGGUCUGAGAGGAUGAUCAGCCACACUGGAACUGAGACACGGUCCAGACUCCUACGGGAGGCAGCAGUGGGGAAUUUUGGACAAUGGGCGAAAGCCUGAUCCAGCAAUGCCGCGUGAGUGAAGAAGGCCUUCGGGUUGUAAAGCACUUUUGUUCGGAAAGAAAACCUGCGCCCUAAUACGGUCCUGUUAUGACGGUACCCAAAGAAUAAGCACCGGCUAACUACGUG
Molecule: ribosomal RNA, 486 nt
Filed under: uncultured bacterium
Lineage: Bacteria
Description: partial 16S ribosomal RNA
Rfam family: Bacterial small subunit ribosomal RNA
Source: RNAcentral